GAUGAACGCUAGUUACAGGCUUAACACAUGCAAGUCGAGGGGAAACGAUGAGAGAGCUUGCUCUCUUAGUCGUCGACCGGCGCACGGGUGAGUAACGCGUAUCCAACCUGCCUCUGACCAAGGGAUAACCCGUCGAAAGUCGGACUAAUACCUUAUGCAGUCGUCGGAAGUCAUCUGAUGACGACGAAAGAUUUCAUCGGUGAGAGAUGGGGAUGCGUCUGAUUAGCUUGUUGGCGGGGUAACGGCCCACCAAGGCGACGAUCAGUAGGGGUUCUGAGAGGAAGGUCCCCCACAUUGGAACUGAGACACGGUCCAAACUCCUACGGGAGGCAGCAGUGAGGAAUAUUGGUCAAUGGGCGUAAGCCUGAACCAGCCAAGUAGCGUGCAGGAUGACGGCCCUAUGGGUUGUAAACUGCUUUUAUGCGGGGAUAAAGUGAGGGACGUGUCCUUCAUUGCAGGUACCGCAUGAAUAAGGACCGGCUAAUUCCGUG
RNAcentral lists this ribosomal RNA (491 nucleotides) under uncultured bacterium. Its description in RNAcentral is "partial 16S ribosomal RNA". It matches the Rfam family "Bacterial small subunit ribosomal RNA", at positions 28 to 507 of the family's 1533-position model. The record is from RNAcentral.